GGGGGGGGACCGUGCCAGGCCGCGAUCAGCCAAUUUCCGCAUCCAGCUGACACUCCCUAAAAGCCUGGCAAAAUAUGCGACCGUCUUGCAAGUUACGUUGCGAUUCCCGUGCAGGCCUGGCUGAUGCCCAUUAGCCACCGCUACUUUUCUGCCCUCUCCAACGAAAACAAACGACACAGUUGACUGGAACGACUUGUGACUUGUCGCAAAUUGCGGGCUGUACGUUUUCAUCUGUCAAAACCCGACCGAGCAUUAUUAUCUUUGCAAAGAUUUGUUUUUGAUGCGGCUCUUGUACUGGAUUUUAUGAGACUGUCCCUAAUAUUUUGCCCACCUGUACUUAUUGCAAUCAGAUAAUGUCACUGGA
Molecule: long non-coding RNA, 364 nt
Organism: Syngnathoides biaculeatus (alligator pipefish)
Lineage: Eukaryota; Metazoa; Chordata; Actinopteri; Syngnathiformes; Syngnathidae
Exons: 2
Source: RefSeq, a predicted model, not a curated record